UUAAGCGACUAAGCGUACACGGUGGAUGCCCUGGCAGUCAGAGGCGAUGAAGGACGUGCUAAUCUGCGAAAAGCGCCGGCGAGGUGAUAUGAACCCUUGACCCGGCGAUGUCCGAAUGGGGAAACCCAGUGCAAUUCGUUGCACUAUCGUUAACUGAAUACAUAGGUUAACGAGGCGAACCGGGGGAACUGAAACAUCUAAGUACCCCGAGGAAAAGAAAUCAACCGAGAUUCCCCCAGUAGCGGCGAGCGAACGGGGAGCAGCCCGGAGUCUGAAUCAGCUUGUGUGUUAGUGGAACGGUCUGGAAAGUCCGACGGUACAGGGUGAUAGUCCCGUACACGAAAGCACACAUGCUGUGAACUCGAAGAGUAGGGCGGGACACGUGGUAUCCUGUCUGAAUAUGGGGGGACCAUCCUCCAAGGCUAAAUACUCCUGACUGACCGAUAGUGAACCAGUACCGUGAGGGAAAGGCGAAAAGAACCCCGGCGAGGGGAGUGAAAAAGAACCUGAAACCGUGUACGUACAAGCAGUGGGAGCCUCUUUAUGGGGUGACUGCGUACCUUUUGUAUAAUGGGUCAGCGACUUAUAUUCUGUAGCAAGGUUAACCGUAUAGGGGAGCCGAAGGGAAACCGAGUCUUAACUGGGCGUUAAGUUGCAGGGUAUAGACCCGAAACCCGGUGAUCUAGCCAUGGGCAGGUUGAAGGUUGGGUAACACUAACUGGAGGACCGAACCGACUAAUGUUGAAAAAUUAGCGGAUGACCUGUGGCUGGGGGUGAAAGGCCAAUCAAACCGGGAGAUAGCUGGUUCUCCCCGAAAGCUAUUUAGGUAGCGCCUCGUGAACUCAUCUUCGGGGGUAGAGCACUGUUUCGGCUAGGGGGCCAUCCCGGCUUACCAACCCGAUGCAAACUACGAAUACCGAAGAAUGUUAUCACGGGAGACACACGGCGGGUGCUAACGUCCGUCGUGAAGAGGGAAACAACCCAGACCGCCAGCUAAGGUCCCAAAGUCAUGGUUAAGUGGGAAACGAUGUGGGAAGGCACAGACAGCCAGGAUGUUGGCUUAGAAGCAGCCAUCAUUUAAAGAAAGCGUAAUAGCUCACUGGUCGAGUCGGCCUGCGCGGAAGAUGUAACGGGGCUAAACCAUGCACCGAAGCUGCGGCAGCGACACUAUGUGUUGUUGGGUAGGGGAGCGUUCUGUAAGCCGUUGAAGGUGUGCUGUGAGGCAUGCUGGAGGUAUCAGAAGUGCGAAUGCUGACAUAAGUAACGAUAAAGCGGGUGAAAAGCCCGCUCGCCGGAAGACCAAGGGUUCCUGUCCAACGUUAAUCGGGGCAGGGUGAGUCGACCCCUAAGGCGAGGCCGAAAGGCGUAGUCGAUGGGAAACAGGUUAAUAUUCCUGUACUUGGUGUUACUGCGAAGGGGGGACGGAGAAGGCUAUGUCAGCCGGGCGACGGUUGUCCCGGUUUAAGCAUGUAGGCGGAGGUUCCAGGUAAAUCCGGUACCUUUUAACGCUGAGGUGUGAUGACGAGGCACUACGGUGCUGAAGUGAUAAAUGCCCUGCUUCCAGGAAAAGCCUCUAAGCAUCAGGUAACACGAAAUCGUACCCCAAACCGACACAGGUGGUCAGGUAGAGAAUACCAAGGCGCUUGAGAGAACUCGGGUGAAGGAACUAGGCAAAAUGGUGCCGUAACUUCGGGAGAAGGCACGCUGAUGUGUAGGUGAAGCCCCUGCGGGCGGAGCUGAAAUCAGUCGAAGAUACCAGCUGGCUGCAACUGUUUAUUAAAAACACAGCACUGUGCAAACACGAAAGUGGACGUAUACGGUGUGACGCCUGCCCGGUGCCGGAAGGUUAAUUGAUGGGGUUAGCGGCAACGCGAAGCUCUUGAUCGAAGCCCCGGUAAACGGCGGCCGUAACUAUAACGGUCCUAAGGUAGCGAAAUUCCUUGUCGGGUAAGUUCCGACCUGCACGAAUGGCGUAAUGAUGGCCAGGCUGUCUCCACCCGAGACUCAGUGAAAUUGAACUCGCUGUGAAGAUGCAGUGUACCCGCGGCAAGACGGAAAGACCCCGUGAACCUUUACUAUAGCUUGACACUGAACACUGGUCCUUGAUGUGUAGGAUAGGUGGGAGGCUUUGAAGCGUGGACGCCAGUCUGCGUGGAGCCGACCUUGAAAUACCACCCUUUAAUGGCUGGUGUUCUAACGUAGACCCGUAAUCCGGGUUGCGGACAGUGUCUGGUGGGUAGUUUGACUGGGGCGGUCUCCUCCCAAAGAGUAACGGAGGAGCACGAAGGUUGGCUAAUCCUGGUCGGACAUCAGGAGGUUAGUGCAAUGGCAUAAGCCAGCUUGACUGCGAGCGUGACGGCGCGAGCAGGUGCGAAAGCAGGUCAUAGUGAUCCGGUGGUUCUGAAUGGAAGGGCCAUCGCUCAACGGAUAAAAGGUACUCCGGGGAUAACAGGCUGAUACCGCCCAAGAGUUCAUAUCGACGGCGGUGUUUGGCACCUCGAUGUCGGCUCAUCACAUCCUGGGGCUGAAGUAGGUCCCAAGGGUAUGGCUGUUCGCCAUUUAAAGUGGUACGCGAGCUGGGUUUAGAACGUCGUGAGACAGUUCGGUCCCUAUCUGCCGUGGGCGCUGGAGAAUUGAGGGGGGCUGCUCCUAGUACGAGAGGACCGGAGUGGACGCAUCACUGGUGUUCGGGUUGUCAUGCCAAUGGCACUGCCCGGUAGCUAAAUGCGGAAGAGAUAAGUGCUGAAAGCAUCUAAGCACGAAACUUGCCCCGAGAUGAGUUCUCCCUGAGACCUUGAGUCUCCUGAAGGAACGUUGAAGACGACGACGUUGAUAGGUCGGGUGUGUAAGCGCAGCGAUGCGUUGAGCUAACCGAUACUAAUGAACCGUGAGGCUUAACCUU
This 2902-nucleotide ribosomal RNA is filed under the name Enterobacter cancerogenus YZ1. RNAcentral's name for it is "bacterial LSU rRNA". It matches the Rfam family "Bacterial large subunit ribosomal RNA". Lineage: Bacteria; Pseudomonadati; Pseudomonadota; Gammaproteobacteria; Enterobacterales; Enterobacteriaceae. The record is from RNAcentral.